RNAcentral lists this ribosomal RNA (427 nucleotides) under uncultured bacterium. RNAcentral's name for it is "partial 16S ribosomal RNA". It matches the Rfam family "Bacterial small subunit ribosomal RNA", at positions 355 to 774 of the family's 1533-position model. The record is from RNAcentral.
UGGGGAAUAUUGCACAAUGGGCGCAAGCCUGAUGCAGCCAUGCCGCGUGUAUGAAGAAGGCCUUCGGGUUGUAAAGUACUUUCAGCGGGGAGGAAGGUGUUGUGGUUAAUAACCGCAGCAAUUGACGUUACCCGCAGAAGAAGCACCGGCUAACUCCGUGCCAGCAGCCGCGGUAAUACGGAGGGUGCAAGCGUUAAUCGGAAUUACUGGGCGUAAAGCGCACGCAGGCGGUCUGUCAAGUCGGAUGUGAAAUCCCCGGGCUCAACCUGGGAACUGCAUUCGAAACUGGCAGGCUAGAGUCUUGUAGAGGGGGGUAGAAUUCCAGGUGUAGCGGUGAAAUGCGUAGAGAUCUGGAGGAAUACCGGUGGCGAAGGCGGCCCCCUGGACAAAGACUGACGCUCAGGCGCGAAAGCGUGGGGAGCAAACA